AUCGGUCCAGCUGCCCAAAAAUCCCAGCGUAUUCCCCAAACGCGUACACAUACCCGCAUAUGAUCAUACAUGUAUCCCCAUUCGUCUUCUUCCCCAACAAACCCUUGACAACAGUACUACAUAGUCAUUUCCCCUACGUUUCGUCCUUGGUUAGCGAGAUUGAGCCACGUAGUGACUUUGAGAAGGCUCGUUUGAAUCUAUACAAUCCGCCUUGGCCCUGGUUUUGUCUGAAUUUAUCAAAGAAUUUGAUAUUUUGGGAUGGGAAUUUGGCAUAUUUCUUAUCCGAAAGAAGGAAUUCAAAUAUUAAAUUCAGAAUUUCAUCCAAAAAACCCCUACUUUCUAUCAUUUUCCUCCUAUUUCCCCAAAAUAUUUCCCUAUUUAAGCUCGCUCGUUCACUGUUGGAAGGGGGUUCUUGGCUCAAUUUUGUUUUGAGAUAAUAGAAAUCUAACCGAGAAAGAGGCGUUUUACAGAUAGAGUCUAAAGAAGGAAGUCUUAAGUCUAAAUUUUGUUUUCUCCUCUGGUUCUGUUCGUUGUUCCGCGGUGCUUCUUUGUCGGAGCUUCACUAGUCGUGGUGAUGGAAGGCUUUGCAGCUCGUCAUCAUCCCAGGCGUUGCACCGAAAAAGUCCACUAGGCUCUUUGCCUCUUCUUUGCAUUUCGAGUUGGGCCACGGAGGUCCAAACUUUACCUUUUGAGUCAGCCUUGGCAAGCAAUCAGUUUUGGAAAAUGAAGUACAGGUUUUGAAAGUCGACAUUAUAGUGAAUGGAGCUGAAAUACAGAUUUCGAAGGAAAAAAAUAGGUUGUAUACAGUCUAUAUAGAAAGGAAUACAGGUGGAAAAAUGACUGUAUAUAUUGAUAUAUAGUGUAUAUACAGCAAAAUUGGGCUAAAAGUCCAAAAUGCAGGUAGCCCAACAUCUUAGUUCAGACAUACAAAACUAAGUGUUGGGCUAGAUUUUCAUUUUGUUUAGAAUUUUGGGCCAAAACCCAAAGCUUUUAAGCUAUUAUUCUUUUAUUUUAUUCGGGUUAUAAUAAUUUAAUUAUUUAUGUUGAUUUA
This is a long non-coding RNA of Solanum dulcamara, 1051 nucleotides long. RefSeq lists it as uncharacterized. The transcript is spliced from 2 exons. The record is from RefSeq and is a predicted model, not a curated record. NCBI's taxonomy places the organism in Eukaryota, Viridiplantae, Streptophyta, Magnoliopsida, Solanales, Solanaceae.